GAGUUUGAUCAUGGCUCAGAUUGAACGCUGGCGGCAGGCCUAACACAUGCAAGUCGAGCGGCAGCGGGAAAGUAGCUUGCUACUUUUGCCGGCGAGCGGCGGACGGGUGAGUAAUGCCUGGGAAAUUGCCCAGUCGAGGGGGAUAACAGUUGGAAACGACUGCUAAUACCGCAUACGCCCUACGGGGGAAAGCAGGGGACCUUCGGGCCUUGCGCGAUUGGAUAUGCCCAGGUGGGAUUAGCUUGUUGGUGAGGUAAUGGCUCACCAAGGCGACGAUCCCUAGCUGGUCUGAGAGGAUGAUCAGCCACACUGGAACUGAGACACGGUCCAGACUCCUACGGGAGGCAGCAGUGGGGAAUAUUGCACAAUGGGGGAAACCCUGAUGCAGCCAUGCCGCGUGUGUGAAGAAGGCCUUCGGUUGUAAGCACUUCAGCGAGGAGGAAAGGUUGAUGCCUAAUACGUAUCAGCUGUGACGUUACUCGCAGAAGA
Molecule: ribosomal RNA, 489 nt
Filed under: uncultured Aeromonas sp.
Lineage: Bacteria; Pseudomonadati; Pseudomonadota; Gammaproteobacteria; Aeromonadales; Aeromonadaceae
Description: bacterial SSU rRNA
Rfam family: Bacterial small subunit ribosomal RNA
Source: RNAcentral